RNAcentral lists this ribosomal RNA (253 nucleotides) under uncultured bacterium. RNAcentral describes it as "partial 16S ribosomal RNA". It matches the Rfam family "Bacterial small subunit ribosomal RNA", at positions 524 to 776 of the family's 1533-position model. The record is from RNAcentral.
UACGUAGGGUGCGAGCGUUAAUCGGAAUUACUGGGCGUAAAGGGUGCGCAGGCGGAUAUGUAAGUUAGAUGUGAAAUCCCCGAGCUUAACUUGGGAACAGCAUUUAAGACUGCAUGUCUAGAGUUUGUCAGAGGGGGGUAGAAUUCCAAGUGUAGCAGUGAAAUGCGUAGAGAUUUGGAGGAAUACCGGUGGCGAAGGCGACCCCCUGGGAUAGAACUGACGCUCAGGCACGAAAGCGUGGGUAGCAAACAGG